AAAAACUCCUUACGUAGCCGUUCUAGUUCCGCAGGGCCCCCAAACUUAGCUAGGAACAACUUUGACCGUGCGAUUUCAAGCGUUAUGUGCCAGGAUGAAAACUGACUCUGGUUUGUAUGCAUAGCGACAGUAAUUAUACCACCAUUAUUGAAAUGCUCUGGUGCUGGGCGUGGCGUCUCGGCGACUUCACGGGCUGGUCGUCGUGAAACUGACCGGGAAACAGCCGGCAGACAGCAAACAAAUUCACGGUUGUACGCAGCAGUGACUGAAAGUUUUGCCGACCUUUGCUUUGUAAUUCCCAGUCUGCUAGUUAAAGGAGCCGAGGCCUGGUCUCGGAGCCCGAUAGUACGAGCACUUUAAACAUUUCCG
RNAcentral lists this long non-coding RNA (369 nucleotides) under Volvox carteri. RNAcentral's name for it is "long non-coding RNA (VCAR_LNC001323)". The record is from RNAcentral. Lineage: Eukaryota; Viridiplantae; Chlorophyta; Chlorophyceae; Chlamydomonadales; Volvocaceae.